GAUGAAGAACGCAGCGAAAUGCGAUAAGUAAUGUGAAUUGCAGAAUUCAGUGAAUCAUCGAAUCUUUGAACGCACAUUGCGCCCGUCAGUAUUCUGGCGGGCAUGCCUGUUCGAGCGUCAUUACUCCCCUCAAGUCCCCUGUGGACUUGGUGUUGGGGAUCGGCGAGGCUGGUUUUCCAGCACAGCCGUCCCUUAAAUUAAUUGGCGGUCUCGCCGUGGCCCUCCUCUGCGCAGUAGUAAAACACUCGCAACAGGAGCCCGGCGCGGUCCACUGCCGUAAAACCCCCCAACUUUUUAUAGUUGACCUCGAAUCAGGUAGGACUACCCGCUGAACUUAAGCAUAUCAAUAAGCGGAGGA
Molecule: unclassified non-coding RNA, 358 nt
Filed under: soil metagenome
Description: partial contains 5.8S ribosomal RNA, internal transcribed spacer 2, and large subunit ribosomal RNA
Rfam family: 5.8S ribosomal RNA (bases 1-120)
Source: RNAcentral